UACGUAGGGUGCAAGCGUUGUCCGGAAUUAUUGGGCGUAAAGAGUUCGUAGGCGGUUUGUCGCGUCCGUUGUGAAAGCUUGGGGCUCAACCCCAAGUCUGCAGUGGAUACUGUCGAACUAGAGUCCGGAAGAGGCGAGUGGAAUUCCUGGUGUAGCGGUGAAAUGCGCAGAUAUCAGGAGGAACACCGAUGGCGAAGGCAGCUCGCUGGGACGGUACUGACGCUGAGACGCGAAAGCGUGGGGAGCAAACAGG
This 253-nucleotide ribosomal RNA is filed under the name uncultured bacterium. RNAcentral's name for it is "partial 16S ribosomal RNA". It matches the Rfam family "Bacterial small subunit ribosomal RNA", at positions 524 to 776 of the family's 1533-position model. The record is from RNAcentral.